AGGGACAAAUGGACAUAAAAUGGAUGCUUGCAUACAUUUUUAUGUCUAUGGGGACCGCUAAAUCAUGAAAAAGCAGCCAUUUUUCAAAGAAAAAUGCGCGGAUUUUGAAUGAUUUCAUAGAUUUCGGGAGUGCCAGCGGCACGUAGAAAUCUAU
Molecule: small RNA, 154 nt
Filed under: human gut metagenome
Description: Clostridiales-1 RNA
Rfam family: Clostridiales-1 RNA
Source: RNAcentral